UCCUGGUUAACCCAGGCAGUCUCACUAGAGUUCCCACCUUCACGUGUUGGCAACUAGUGAUAAGGGUUGCGCUCGUUGCGGGACUUAACCCAACACCUCACGGCACGAGCUGACGACAGCCAUGCAGCACCUGUGCAAAGGCCCCGAAGGGACACCAUAUCUCUACUGCUGUCCUUUGCAUGUCAAGCCUGGGUAAGGUUCUUCGCGUUGCAUCGAAUUAAACCACAUGCUCCACUGCUUGUGCGGGUCCCCGUCAAUUCUUUUGAGUUUCAGCCUUGCGACUGUACUCCCCAGGCGGUAUACUUAACGCGUUAGCUCCGGCACAGUCGGGGCUGAGUCCAACUACACCAAGUAUACAUCGUUUACGGCAAGGACUAC
RNAcentral lists this unclassified non-coding RNA (378 nucleotides) under uncultured Parachlamydiaceae bacterium. Its description in RNAcentral is "contains 16S-23S intergenic spacer region". Lineage: Bacteria; Pseudomonadati; Chlamydiota; Chlamydiia; Parachlamydiales; Parachlamydiaceae. The record is from RNAcentral.